RNAcentral lists this long non-coding RNA (233 nucleotides) under Ananas comosus (pineapple). RNAcentral describes it as "long non-coding RNA (ACOM_LNC032569)". Lineage: Eukaryota; Viridiplantae; Streptophyta; Magnoliopsida; Poales; Bromeliaceae. The record is from RNAcentral.
GAGGAGAGUUUUAUUGUUGUUGCUCUCUCUCUCUCUAGUUUUUGAACGUGAUAGUGGUGGUGAUCGCGGCUCGAGUUUGAGUGAUUUUGACGUCGAUCAGGAAGGCUAUUCGAGCGUGCGAGCAUCGCGGUUGCAUCAUUGGGAGGCCGGGCGAGCGCGUGGUUUUCUCUCCUUUCGACUUCUCGCCGUAGUUGGAUUAGCGUGUCGAGGUGGGUUGAAGUUUACCGAAAUUG